Molecule: non-coding RNA, 70 nt
Organism: Dipodomys ordii (Ord's kangaroo rat)
Lineage: Eukaryota; Metazoa; Chordata; Mammalia; Rodentia; Heteromyidae
Source: Rfam
AGGAAGGUGGCUCAGUGGUAGAGUGCUUGCUUUUCAUGCAUGAGGCCCUGGGUUCGAUUCCUCAGUACUA